RNAcentral lists this ribosomal RNA (555 nucleotides) under Pilumnus gemmatus. RNAcentral's name for it is "partial 16S ribosomal RNA". It matches the Rfam family "Bacterial large subunit ribosomal RNA", at positions 1809 to 2630 of the family's 2925-position model. Lineage: Eukaryota; Metazoa; Arthropoda; Malacostraca; Decapoda; Pilumnidae. The record is from RNAcentral.
AAAAACAUGUCUAUUUGGUAGGUAAAAAUAGUCUGACCUGCUCACUGAUAGGUAAUUAAAGAGCCGCGGUAUACUGACCGUGCAAAGGUAGCAUAAUCAUUAGUUUUUUAAUUGAAAACUUGUAUGAAUGGUUGGACAAGAGAAAAGCUGUCUAUACUACAGAUAUCGAAUUUAACUUUUAAGUGAAAAGGCUUAAAUGAUUUAAAGGGACGAUAAGACCCUAUAAAACUUUAUAUGUUAGUAAAAUUUAAUUAAAUUAUAAAAAUUUAAUUUUACGUUGUAUUUUAUUGGGGCGAUAAAGGUAUAAUUUAUAUUAACUGCUUAAACAAAAAACAAAAAAUAUUUGGUUACUUGUAAAUGAUCCUUUUUAGAGAUUAAAAGACUAAGUUACUUUAGGGAUAACAGCGUAAUUUCUUUUGAGAGCUCAUAUCGAAAAAGAAGAUUGCGACCUCGAUGUUGAAUUAAAAUAUCUGUCACAGGGCAGCCCCUUGAUAAGAAGAUCUGUUCGAUCUUUAAAUUUUUACAUGAUUUGAGUUCAAACCGGCGUGAGCCAGG